GACGAACGCUGGCGGCGUGCUUAACACAUGCAAGUCGAGCGGUAAGGCCCUUUCGGGGGUAUACGAGCGGCGAACGGGUGAGUAACACGUGAGCAACCUGCCCUUCUCUUUGGAAUAAGCGUUGGAAACGACGUCUAAUGCCGAAUAUGACCCCCUGUCGCAUGGUGGGGUGGAAAGCUCUGGCGGAGAAGGAUGGGCUCGCGGCCUAUCAGCUUGUUGGUGUGGGUAAUGGCCCACCAAGGCGACGACGGGUAGCCGGCCUGAGAGGGUGACCGGCCACACUGGGACUGAGACACGGCCCAGACUCCUACGGGAGGCAGCAGUGGGGAAUAUUGGACAAUGGGCGAAAGCCUGAUCCAGCAACGCCGCGUGAGGGAUGACGGCCUUCGGGUUGUAAACCUCUUUCAGCAGGGACGAAGCGAGAGUGACGGUACCUGCAGAAGAAGGACCGGCCAACUACGUGCCAGCCGCCGCCGUAA
This 479-nucleotide ribosomal RNA is filed under the name uncultured bacterium. Its description in RNAcentral is "partial 16S ribosomal RNA". It matches the Rfam family "Bacterial small subunit ribosomal RNA", at positions 28 to 523 of the family's 1533-position model. The record is from RNAcentral.